This 22-nucleotide ribosomal RNA is filed under the name Pectinodesmus sp. CB-2012b. Its description in RNAcentral is "partial 28S ribosomal RNA". Lineage: Eukaryota; Viridiplantae; Chlorophyta; Chlorophyceae; Sphaeropleales; Scenedesmaceae. The record is from RNAcentral.
GACCUGAGCUCAGGCAAGGCUA